GAUGAAGAACCGCAGCGAAAUGCGAUAAGUAAUGUGAAUUGCAGAAUUCAGUGAAUCAUCGAAUCUUUGAACGCACCUUGCGCUCCUUGGUAUUCCGAGGAGCAUGCCUGUUUGAGUGUCAGUUUAUUAUCAACCCCUCCAGCUUUUGUAGUUGGGUUUUGGCGGUUUGGAUAUGGAGGUUUUGCAGGCCCUUUUAAAGUGGUCAGCUCCUCUAAAAUGCAUUAGCAGAACUGUUUGCAAUCUGUAAACUGGUGUGAUAAUUGUCUACGCUAGUGGAUUGCUCUCUGCAUGUUCAGCUUCUAAUAGUCUCCCACUGAGGAGACAACUUAUUAUGAACCUUUGACCUCAAAUCAGGUAGGAUUACCCGCUGAACUUAAGCAUAUCAAUAAGCGGAGGA
RNAcentral lists this unclassified non-coding RNA (397 nucleotides) under soil metagenome. Its description in RNAcentral is "partial contains 5.8S ribosomal RNA, internal transcribed spacer 2, and large subunit ribosomal RNA". The stretch from base 1 to 121 matches the Rfam family "5.8S ribosomal RNA", at positions 35 to 154 of the family's 154-position model. The record is from RNAcentral.